Vulpes vulpes (red fox) is the source of this 94-nucleotide small nuclear RNA. Lineage: Eukaryota; Metazoa; Chordata; Mammalia; Carnivora; Canidae. The record is from Ensembl.
AUGCUUGUUUUGGUAGCACAUAUAUUAAAAUUGGAAUGAUACAGGAAAGAUUAGCUUGGAUGACACACAAAUUUGCAAAGCAUUGCCUAUUUUU